UUUUUUUUCCAAUACCGUGUUUCCAGGAGCGUGUUCGCCUGGAAACUGUGCGGAUUCCGUAAGGAAUCAUGUACACGAAAUCGGAACGACAGAACAGAUUUCUUACUAGAAAAUUGAGUUCACUACAAUUCCGUUCUGUAAGAAAUUUCUCUAUCCGUCCCAUAUAAACGGAAUGUUGCCUCGGUCGCAAGCUGAUUUGCUUAAUUUAAUCGAUAUUUCGUUACUUUAAUGCGACUAAAGCAGUAAUGUGUGCAAUUUAUGCAAUUCUAUCUUACCUAUAAUAUUAUUUUGAAUACUCAAAAAAUACUGAUAAGAGUAAAAUAUAUUUUGUUACUAAAAUUCCAUUGUUCUGGCGACAUGGGAUGGGUAGAGACAAUUUUUACGGAAUAGCAUGUUCAGCUGAGUUGGUUGAAUCUAAAAAUUGAAACGAAUAUUCAGAAACAUUUUUUGUAAAUCUACAACGAUGGAUGAAGAAAUAGUGUUAUUACUAAUGUUAAAAUUAUUGCGAAAGCAGAAAUAAACAAGAAAACGAAAAUUCUAAAUACAGUCAAUAUUUACACAAAGAAUGAGGUGGCGUACCAAGGCUCAAAUGACAAUUUAGUCCUUGAAAAAUGCAAUCCUGACGAAAAUGAGAAGUUUCAUAAGUGUUUGUUUAACCUUUACAUUGUUGAGCGUUUGCAGAAAUUCGUUGAGAAUUUAGAAACGCGGCCAUGUCGUGCACUACUUGAAAAUCGGAUAUGUAAAAGAAUGUUUGCUAAAUGGAAGAAAAACACUUGCGUUAUGGAGUUGAGAAAAACGGUUUUUGGGCGUCUUUAAGCCGUUUGCGUAAAAGCCUUACAAAACAUUUACUGAGAUUCAAUAAUUCGCCAUGUUGGAACAGCGUUUAUUGAAUAGAAGAAAAAUAUUUGUCGGUAUUGAGAAAAGCAUUUGCUAAAUGUUUGAAAAAUCUGACAGUGAACUCUCUGCACGAAGGCGCAUCCACGUUUACUGAGCAUCCUUUGGAAAGCGUUACUUUAGCAUUACAGAACUUUCAUAAAACGAUAUAUACUGUAUUUUAUAAGCGUUCUAAAAGUGUUUAAAACCUAAUAGUGUUCUGUAAGUGUUCUUAUAAAGUUUGAAAACGUAUAAACUCUUAAAAAAUCGUCAUUGAACGGUUGUCAACGUUUUAUAAAGUUCCGUAUUUUCGCCAGGGAAACAAUCGAAUGAGAAGUCAUUCUUCAAUUAUUUCAGAAUGACAUCAAUUAUUUAAAGAA
Acromyrmex echinatior (Panamanian leafcutter ant) is the source of this 1253-nucleotide long non-coding RNA. The record is from RefSeq and is a predicted model, not a curated record. Lineage: Eukaryota; Metazoa; Arthropoda; Insecta; Hymenoptera; Formicidae.